Cavia aperea (Brazilian guinea pig) is the source of this 96-nucleotide unclassified non-coding RNA. It matches the Rfam family "Y RNA". Rfam says of the family: Y RNAs are components of the Ro ribonucleoprotein particle (Ro RNP), in association with Ro60 and La proteins. The Y RNAs and Ro60 and La proteins are well conserved, but the function of the Ro RNP is not known. Lineage: Eukaryota; Metazoa; Chordata; Mammalia; Rodentia; Caviidae. The record is from Ensembl.
GGCUGGUCCGAUGGCAGUGGGUUAUCAGAACUUACUAACAUUAGUGUCACUAAAGUUGGUAUACCACCCCCCACUGCUAAAUUUGACUGGCUUAAA